Ornithorhynchus anatinus (platypus) is the source of this 138-nucleotide small nucleolar RNA. The record is from RefSeq and is a predicted model, not a curated record. Lineage: Eukaryota; Metazoa; Chordata; Mammalia; Monotremata; Ornithorhynchidae.
UUCCUCCCAGGGUCGCACCUGGAGAGUUUCCAGUACUCUACCAGUCUCGACUACAGGAGGGAGAGUCGAGUAGAUGCAUAACCAUUCCAUUGCUAGCUUGUCCAAUGGCUAACGAGUGGAAGGCAACCUGCUACAAGU